RNAcentral lists this ribosomal RNA (146 nucleotides) under uncultured eukaryote. RNAcentral's name for it is "partial small subunit ribosomal RNA". It matches the Rfam family "Eukaryotic small subunit ribosomal RNA", at positions 1296 to 1461 of the family's 1831-position model. The record is from RNAcentral.
AGUUGGUGGAGUGAUUUGUCUGGUUAAUUCCGUUAACGAACGAGACCUCAGCCUGCUAAAUAGUUGGCUCAAUCCCCCGGAUUGUGCCAACUUCUUAGAGGGACUUUCGGUGUGUAGCCGUAAGGAAGUUUGAGGCAAUAACAGGU